This is a ribosomal RNA of 612 nucleotides. The stretch from base 231 to 384 matches the Rfam family "5.8S ribosomal RNA".
AGGUUUCCGUAGGUGAACCUGCGGAAGGAUCAUUAUCGAGUUUUGAACGGGUUGUUGCUGGCCUCAUACGGGGCAUGUGCACGCCUGACUUCAUCCACUCUUCAACCUCUGUGCACUUAUUGUAGGCUAGCGUGAAAGGUCGCAUUCAUUUGCGGCUGGAAGCCUGUCUACGUUUUACUACAAACGCUUCAGUUAUAGAAUGUUUAUCUGCGUAUAACGCAUUUAUAUACAACUUUCAGCAACGGAUCUCUUGGCUCUCGCAUCGAUGAAGAACGCAGCGAAAUGCGAUAAGUAAUGUGAAUUGCAGAAUUCAGUGAAUCAUCGAAUCUUUGAACGCACCUUGCGCUCCCUGGUAUUCCGGGGAGCAUGCCUGUUUGAGUGUCAUGGAAUUCUCAACUUCUAAUACUUUUUUUGUAUCAGAAGCUUGGAUUUGGAGGUUUGUGCUGGCUCUAUGAGUUCGGCUCCUCUUAAAUGAAUUAGCGUGAAUCACUAUGGAUCGCUUCGGUGUGAUAAUUAUCUGCGCCGUGGUCGUGAAGUAUUAUUAAGUUCUCGCUUCUAAUCGUCCUUCAUAGGACAAUUAACCCUGACUUUUUGACCUCAAAUCAGGUAGGA